GGGCAAUCUGCUUUACACCUCGCUGCAACGUAUGGAUAUGCACAAGUCAUUCAGGUUAUUAUGUCACUAGGUUUCCCGUACGAUUUGGAAAUGAAGGAUUUUGAAGGCCAUACCCCACUUCACUGUGCUGUUCUGUCCCAUAAUUCCCUGUUCCGAGAGCAGCAAUGUCACCUUACACUAACCGAGGAACAGAGAAAAGAACUUCAGUACCAGAGUGAGGAGGUGCUAUCAUGUAUCCACCUUCUGGUACAGAUGGGAGCCUCCAUCCACAGCCG
RNAcentral lists this long non-coding RNA (275 nucleotides) under Gopherus agassizii (Agassiz's desert tortoise). RNAcentral's name for it is "lncRNA (ENSGAGG00000022495.1)". The record is from RNAcentral. Lineage: Eukaryota; Metazoa; Chordata; Testudines; Testudinidae.